Molecule: ribosomal RNA, 923 nt
Filed under: uncultured bacterium
Lineage: Bacteria
Description: bacterial SSU rRNA
Rfam family: Bacterial small subunit ribosomal RNA
Source: RNAcentral
CCCUUAGAGUUUGAUCAUGGCUCAGGAUGAAUGCUAGCGGCGUGCUUGAGAUAUGCAAGUCGAGCGCCCCAAUUUGCCGCAAGGUGAGUUGGGAGCGGCGGACGGCUGAGUAAUAUACAGGAACCUGCCCCUAAGUAGAGGAUAGUCCAGCGAAAGUUGGAGUAAUACUUUAUGGUUUCGCCCUCUGGGCGAAUAAAGAGCUUAACCGCUCGCUAAGGGAUGGGCCUGUAUCCUAUCAGGUAGUUGGUAAGGUAAUGGCUUACCAAGCCUAUGACGGGUAGCUGAUCUUAGAGGAUGAUCAGCCAGAGGGGGACUGAGACACGGCCCCCACUCCUACGGGAGGCAGCAAUCAGGAAUAGUCGGCAAUGGACGAAAGUCUGACCGCGCGACGCCGCGUGUAGGAUUAAGCUAUUAUUUAGUGUAAACUACUGUGGCAGGGGAAGAAGUCCCAUCGUAAGAUGGGGUUGACGGUACCCUGCUAGAAAGGAGCCGCUAACUGCGUGCCAGAAGCGUCGGUAAUACGUGGGCUCCAAGCAUUAUCCGGUUUUAUUGGGCGUAAAGGGUCGUGUAGGCGGUUUGACAAGUUAUCUUUGAAAUUCCAAUGCUUAACAUUGGAAUUGGAGAUAAUACUGUUAAACUAGAGUUUUCUUUAGGGGGAUUGGAACUCAAGGAGGAGUAGUGAAAUGCGUUGAUACCUUGGGGAACACCGAUGGCGAAGGCAAGUCCCUGGGAGAAAACUGACGCUGAGACACGAAAGCUAGGGGAGCGAAGCAGAUUAGAGACCUGCGUAGUCCUAGCCCUAAACGAAUGUCUGCUACCUGCAUGAUUUCGUAUUUAUACGAUUUCGUGUGGGAAAGGUAACCCGUUAAGCAGACCGCCUGGGGAGUACGACCGCANGGUUAAAACUCAAAGGAAUUGGCGGG